CAGCUUGACUUCUUGGGCUCCUUCCAUCCAUCUGAGAAAAUCAUGGCCCAGGUAGCCAAAUAAGAUUGGUAAAAGUCCCUGCUGUUCAACUGUAUUCUAUUAAGAUCACAAAAAGAGGAAAUGAACCAAAAAGUGGUGACAAGAAAGAUGAUAGCCUGUGGACAAAUGGUCUGGCUUACGGUAUUUAAGGGAAAAUCUGGGCAUUAUUCCAGGAGCUACGUGACAAGUUGUGUGUGUGGAGUGUUUGUUAUACUUCAUGAAGCCGUUCCUCUGGCAAGAUGGUCCCUCGUGGUGUUAGCAACCCAGGAACGAAGUGGUGGGGAAGAUGGGAUAGCAGGAGAAAAGGGAAAAAAGGAAAUACUGUUUUUCCUGUGGAUCACAUAAGGAGUACUGAAGAACUCAAGACAGAGCUGCCAGGAGUUUCGAGAUGCAUUCAGUAAAGAGACACUGGAUGCUAGAGGAAGCAAUUGUAAGUGAUCUAGUGGAGAAAUUGUCUUUCCACAUUCAAAAACAAAACUACAGGUGAGAAAUGACCAGUGAUAGGGUGUUUUCAAAAAACAGGUAACAGCACACAUGAGAAAUAAAGUUUAGCUUUUAAAUACUAGCCAGCCCAAGAAGCACGGAAAUCAGCUUAUAGUAGUAGUGGUCAAUAAAUACAUUUUCUACUCCCUUAGUUUUACAGUGCCUCGUUGCUCCAAACUCAAAGCAGAUAAAAGUAGCAUACUGAGUGAGAGAGAGGGAAUAAAAACUCUUAAUUUUAUUGGUUAUGUUUUCAAAAAUGUUAUUGGAUGAAAUUAUGAGUAUGUGGUAAAACAACAACAACAAAACUUCCAUGAAUACUCCAGCUAUGUGCUUUAACAGUAUUUUUAAACCUUCUGAAUAAAACAGUCCAUUGGCUAACUCUGUCUGAGA
Pteropus alecto (black flying fox) is the source of this 912-nucleotide long non-coding RNA. RefSeq lists it as uncharacterized. The record is from RefSeq and is a predicted model, not a curated record. Lineage: Eukaryota; Metazoa; Chordata; Mammalia; Chiroptera; Pteropodidae. The transcript is spliced from 4 exons.